RNAcentral lists this transfer RNA (73 nucleotides) under Heliconius melpomene (postman butterfly). Its description in RNAcentral is "tRNA HMEL002105". It matches the Rfam family "tRNA". From Rfam's summary of the family: Transfer RNA (tRNA) molecules are approximately 80 nucleotides in length. Their secondary structure includes four short double-helical elements and three loops (D, anti-codon, and T loops). The record is from RNAcentral. Lineage: Eukaryota; Metazoa; Arthropoda; Insecta; Lepidoptera; Nymphalidae.
GCAUCGGUGGUAAAAUGGUGGUAGAAUGCUCGCCUGCCACGCGGGAGCCCGGGUUCGAUUCCCGGCCCAUGCA